CUACGGGGGGCUCCAGUGAGGAAUAUUGGACAAUGGGCGAAAGCCUGAUCCAGCCAUGCCGCGUGAGUGAUGAAGGCCUUAGGGUUGUAAAGCUCUUUCGAUGGUGAAGAUAAUGACGGUAACCAUAGAAGAAGCCCCGGCUAACUUCGUGCCAGCAGCCGCGGUAAUACGAAGGGGGCUAGCGUUGUUCGGAAUCACUGGGCGUAAAGCGCGCGUAGGCGGAACUGUAAGUCAGGGGUGAAAGCCCGGGGCCUAACCCCGGAACUGCCUUUGAAACUACCGUUCUGGAGACUCGGAGGGGAUAGCGGAAUUCCAAAUGUAGGGGUGAAAUCCGUAGAUAUUUGGAGGAACACCGGUGGCGAAGGCGGCUAUCUGGACGAGUACUGACGCUGAGGCGCGAAAGCGUGGGGAGCAAACAGGAUUAGAUACCCCAGUAGUC
Molecule: ribosomal RNA, 439 nt
Filed under: uncultured bacterium
Lineage: Bacteria
Description: partial 16S ribosomal RNA
Rfam family: Bacterial small subunit ribosomal RNA
Source: RNAcentral